Long non-coding RNA from Sciurus carolinensis (gray squirrel), 1150 nucleotides. RefSeq lists it as uncharacterized. Lineage: Eukaryota; Metazoa; Chordata; Mammalia; Rodentia; Sciuridae. The record is from RefSeq and is a predicted model, not a curated record. The transcript has 3 exons.
AUUGCCAGGAGUCUUCUAACCAGUCCCAGAUGGAACAGACCAGAAGCUUGUGGAUAAGUUAGUAGCCUGAUGAUGGCAUGAUGAGCAGAGUUUCACAGGGCAUAACACUAGGAUUGAACAUAGACGGUGCUGAAAGUGGAAUGGUUCAAAUCUUCCAAGGAUGUCCAUCAAUAUUAAGAAGAGUCUACAAAAGGUUUCCAUUCCUUUAACACUGGAGCAGCAAUGAUAUUGGGAUGGUCCACCUCUCUCCUAAACAAACUGUACACCCCAGAGGAUAAUUUGCCUCCAUGCUUCAUGAAGUAUUUCACAAAGAAAAUGAAGGUCAACUGGAACCACAGGAAUGUGGGCAGCACAAGUGACACAAGUAAAUGGCCAGAAUGGAUCUCCAUUUUCAAUGCCACAGAAUUACCACAACCCUCAUGACUUCAGUUCUGAGUCAUCACUGCAAUCCUGGAUGAAUGGGGCCAGAACUGGCUGUGGAGAGGUCAUGUGAAGGAGAAGGAGAAACACCUGCAGGUGUUAGAGACUUCCGCCAAGUCCAGGGCUGCUGCUAGUGAGCCUCACUUGGGAACGUGCAGAGAGAUAAGAGAGAGAACACAUUGAGUCCAUGAUGCAAAUUCCCAGAAGGUUCCAUUAUUUAAAAGAGUGUCAAAGCAUUCCCAAUAACUGAAAUGGUAUAGGAGGCAACUGAUCAAAUCUUGUAAAAUAUGUGGUCUUCAUCCAAUGUCUUUAUUGAUGUCCCACCACCAAUAAAGCAACUGCAUGAAAACAUUCCUCAACCAUACAUAGGGAUCCCUGCCAUUGGCAAUUUGGCCCUUCAGAUCUGAGAUGCAGGCUUGCACCUGAGACCCAGUCAAGUGGCUCCUAAUUCCCAGGGUCUAUAUGUCAGGAUCACCAUGCCCUGAGUGCAAAGGUACCAACACAAAAAUCUGAAGAGGGGCAGAUGGAGCCUGUGCUACUUUGAAGUCCCUCACUAACCUGAAGGUAGAAGUCAAUGUCUCUGGACUGUGUUUACAGGGUGUCCUGAUCUCAGGCUAUCAUUGACUGUCCUGGGUUUCAUACUCUUCCUUUAAACAUUGCAUUUGCCUAAUUUGGAUUCCAGUAAGAAAACUGUGGUCAUGCAUAUAUCAUUUGAAAAUGUAUAAUUUUU